CCAUCUAGCCUGAAGCAGUGAAUUCCUGCUGGGGAAAACUGUGUCUAGAGGUUGCACAUGACUUCACAGGAUUUAUGAUAGAGAUUAUGACAUAGAAAUCGAAGAAAUCAUAAAGUGGAUUGUGGACAUGGCAAAAAGGCCAGGAGGUAAAGGGCUUCUUGGAGAAAUUCCAGAAUUAACAGGCACCACACCAGAUGAAUUAAGAGUUGUCUUGACGGACAUGAGUUGUCUUCAUGAACAAAUUGACGUUAGAUAAUCUGGCAGAAGAAUCCUGAUUAUUCAAGACUGCUUUUGACUUCCUUUACAACAUGGACUCUUCUAGGACAUGGGUGCUGAAACUAAAGUACGUAGAGGAAGAAAGAUUGGUAUUGUACAGAAAGCUUUUUAGAGAAAUGAAAAAGCAAAAAAGGUCAAAUUAUGAAAUAUGUAUUUCUGUAAAGUUGCACCCGCCUCUUCUGCCUUCCUUUCUACCUUCUGCACCUCUUCCCCCCCAUCACCCCUCGUCCUCCUCAGUCUACUCAACAGGAAGAUGAUGACAAUAAAGACCUUUAGGAUGAUCCGCUUCCAUUUAGUGAAGAGUAAGGAAUCAUUAUGCUGCACCGUUAAUAAACAUCCGUUGUGUCUUCAUGUGAAAAUAUAGUAACUGUAUGGCAAGAACUAUGCGAAACAUUUUCUGUCCUCCUCAUCAUCACUGCUUAAGUAUUCAUCACGUAGAAUAUCACAAACCAGAUUUGUAUGGAAGUGGAUAGCCUAUCCUUUCACAGGCAUGGGAUACUUCUUGAGCACUAAGGAGCAUGUACAAUUCCAGGUUUUAGAGAUUUAGCAGUGAAUAAGACAACCGGAGGAUAAAUGACAGAAGGGACAUCUGAGGCCUGGAGCGUGUACAGGGAAAGAGCUCUGACCAUGUCCAAAGUCAGGGUGUGCACACCCUACACAUCACUGAGUAUUUUACCUCUCGUUUGCUAUAUGCAGAAGCACAGACAAAAGACCCCACAGCAUAGCAUCCUGUGAUGGAAAGCAAAACUACGUCUCAAGCAAUAAUGACUGUCUGGACAAAGAGUUGGGCAGCCCAGACCACUGGGGUGAUGAGAUGAGAUUGUGCUUAACUCCUGACUCAGUUUGUGCAGAUGGACCAUGGACUGACCCAUGGAGUGACCCAUAUUUACCUUGUCCUCAUUCUAAUACUAAAACUAGCCUCCCUGGAACUUCCAGGAGGAAUACAAGCCUCAUUUACAUAACAUAGAAUGUAUGAAUAGGCAUGUUUUCUUAAGGCACUGCAGGACCUUAUGCCUGUCUCUACAAAUGAUGACAAGGACGCCCUUUUAAAAUAUUCUUUCUAACCCUACAUAAAAGGAACCCAUCCACCCUUGCUCAAGGAGUCAUGGUUUUGGAAGUUAUUCCCUACGAUCGCCUUAUGUGCUACAAAUAAA
Long non-coding RNA from Prionailurus viverrinus (fishing cat), 1430 nucleotides. RefSeq lists it as uncharacterized. Lineage: Eukaryota; Metazoa; Chordata; Mammalia; Carnivora; Felidae. The record is from RefSeq and is a predicted model, not a curated record. The transcript is spliced from 3 exons.